CUACGGGGGGCUCCAGUGGGGAAUAUUGCACAAUGGAGGAAACUCUGAUGCAGCGACGCCGCGUGAGUGAAGAAGUAUUUCGGUAUGUAAAGCUCUAUCAGCAGGGAAGACAGUGACGGUACCUGCAUAAGAAGCUCCGGCUAAAUACGUGCCAGCAGCCGCGGUAAUACGUAUGGAGCAAGCGUUAUCCGGAUUUACUGGGUGUAAAGGGAGUGUAGGUGGCUGCACAAGGCAGAAGUGAAAGCCCGGGGCUCAACCCCGGGACUGCUUUUGAAACUGUGUGGCUGGAGUGCAGGAGAGGUAAGUGGAAUUCCUAGUGUAGCGGUGAAAUGCGUAGAUAUUAGGAGGAACACCAGUGGCGAAGGCGGCUUACUGGACUGUAACUGACACUGAGGCUCGAAAGCGUGGGGAGCAAACAGGAUUAGAUACCCGGGUAGUC
Molecule: ribosomal RNA, 439 nt
Filed under: uncultured bacterium
Lineage: Bacteria
Description: partial 16S ribosomal RNA
Rfam family: Bacterial small subunit ribosomal RNA
Source: RNAcentral